This 983-nucleotide ribosomal RNA is filed under the name uncultured bacterium. Its description in RNAcentral is "bacterial SSU rRNA". It matches the Rfam family "Archaeal small subunit ribosomal RNA", at positions 344 to 1336 of the family's 1478-position model. The record is from RNAcentral.
AAACCUUUGCAAUAAGCGAAAGCUUGACAGGGCUAUCCCGAGUGCCAUCCGCUGAGGAAGGCUUUUACCCAGUCUAGAAAGCUGGGGGAAUAAGGAGAGGGCAAGUCUGGUGUCAGCCGCCGCGGUAAUACCAGCUCUUCGAGUGGUGUGGAUGUUUAUUGGGCCUAAAGCAUCCGUAGCUGGCUAGGUCAGUCCCUUGUUAAAUCCACCGAAUUAAUCGUUGGAUCGCGGGGGAUACUGCUUGGCUAGGGGACGAGAGAGGCAGACGGUAUUUUCGGGGUAGGGGUGAAAUCCUAUAAUCCCGGGAAGACCACCAGUGGCGAAGGCUGUCUGCUAGAACGCGCCCGACGGUGAGGGAUGAAAGCUGGGGGAGCGAACCGGAUUAGAUACCCGGGUAGUCCCAGCUGUAAACGAUGCAGACUAGGUGUUUGGACGGCCACGUGCCGUUCUAGUGCCGCAGGGAAGCUGUUAAGUCUGCCGCCUGGGGAGUACGAUCGCAAGAUUGAAACUUAAAGGAAUUGGCGGGGGAGCACCACAAGGGGUGAAGCUUGCGGUUUAAUUGGAGUCAACGCCGGAAAUCUCACCGGGAGCGACAGCAGUAUGAAAGCCAGAUUGAAGGUCUUGCUAGACGAGCUGAGAGGAGGUGCAUGGCCGUCGCCAGUUCGUGCCGUGAGGUGUCCUGUUAAGUCAGGCAACGAUCGAGACCCGCGUCCUCUGUUGCAACCAGCUUUGAGCUGGGCACACUGAGGAGACCGCCACUGAUAAAGUGGAGGAAGGAGCGGGCCACGGCAGGUCAGUAUGCCCCGAAUCUCCCGGGCCACACGCGAGCUGCAAUGGCAAGUACAAUGGGUUCCGACCUCGAAAGGGGGAGGCAAUCUCGAAAGCUUGCCGUAGUUGGAAUUGAGGGUUGAAACCCACCCUCAUGAACAUGGAAUCCCUAGUAAUCGCGUGUCACUAGCGCGCGGUGAAUACGUCCCUGCUCC